GAUGAACGCUGGCGGCGUGCCUAAUACAUGCCAGUCGAGCGAACAGACGCGGAGCUUGCUCCUCUGACGUUAGCGGCGGACGGGUGAGUAACACGUGUAUCACGUACCUAUAUGACUGGGAUAACUUCGGGAAACGGGCGAUAACACCGUAUAAUAUCUUGAACCGCAUUGUUCAAUGGUAAAAGACGGCUUUUCUGUCUCUUAUAGCUGGAUCCGCGCCGCUUUGGCUAGUUGUUAGGGUAACGGCUUACCAAGGCAACGAUGCGUAGCCGAAGUGAGAGGGUGAUAGGCCACCUGGGAGCUGAGACGCCGUCCUGACUCCUACGGGAGGCAGCAGUAGCGAAUGUUCGGCAAUAGGCGAAAGCCUGACGGAGCGACGCCAAGUGAGUGAUAGAGAUGUUCGGAGCGUAAAACUCUGUUAUUAGGGAAAAACCAAUGUCUAAGGAGCUAUGCACGUAUUGACGGUAACUAAUCAGGAAGCCACGGCUAACUACGUG
Molecule: ribosomal RNA, 497 nt
Filed under: uncultured bacterium
Lineage: Bacteria
Description: partial 16S ribosomal RNA
Rfam family: Bacterial small subunit ribosomal RNA
Source: RNAcentral